Long non-coding RNA from Zingiber officinale, 2945 nucleotides. RefSeq lists it as uncharacterized. NCBI's taxonomy places the organism in Eukaryota, Viridiplantae, Streptophyta, Magnoliopsida, Zingiberales, Zingiberaceae. The transcript has 6 exons. The record is from RefSeq and is a predicted model, not a curated record.
UUUCUUUGUUACCGAGAAGUGCAUAUUUUUUAUAUUAUUUCUUCCUUUGAGUAAAAACAAGAUUAAGUUUCUGGAUUUUCUUCAUCCUUUUGUGUCAGUAAUUUGCAAUUAGUUUUUCUGUGCAAAUUCAGUUUGAUCCUUUUCCCACUAAGUUUAUACGUUUUUGUUGGAAAAUGUAUAUCUUAACAACUUACGGCAUGACAUCUUUUCUCACUAACUUGUUUUCUUUCAGCCGAAACUCUAACAGCUGGGAAUCCUAUCUCGAUCCUACAUUUAUGUCAUUAAUUAAGGAUCCUGACCAGAGUAGGAUAGAGCAACAGGAAAGGGUGCCCAAACACAAAGUGGUUUCAAUUGUGCCAAGCUUCUUGGAUGGUGACCUUAGUGGCCCACCAUUCUCUGCUGCUGAAGAGUAAUCUCUCCAUUCAAGAUAUCUUGCCAAAGCAUAUUCUCUUAAUCUCACAGAUAUCGCUGAAAUGAAGAUAAUCUAGUGGUGUGGACAGUGAGUGAAGGCCGGUCAUGGUUGUUAUAGGAGCUCAUUUUCUUUUGCGGUGCCUUGAUUUGGAGCGUUUUGUGCUGUAUGUUGUAAAGGAGUUUGAACCCUUGAUUCAGAAGCCAUACAGCAUUAUUUACAUUCACUCCGCAGCCUCUUUGCAACCGUAUUGGUAUUUGAUUUGUUGAAGACAACCGGAUGAAGUGAUUGCAACAGAUAUUGGGUUGGAAGCACAAGGGAAAUUUGCACGCUAUAUAUGUUUUGCAUCCGACACUGGGAUUGAGGGCAGCAAUCUUCUCCCUGCAGCUUUUGGUGGACGGCGAGGUGAUAUGAGGUAUAAUGGAGGGUCCUAGUAACACGGGAGGCUAAUAAUCAAGGUGAUGAGGUGGUCAAAAGUUAAGGAGAGGUGGUAGUCAAGGUUGGAAAGCUCUUGCUAACUUGGUCCAAAAAGGGAAGCAACAAUCAAAGCCGGAAAUUUCCUUUGGGACUCGGCUCUCUCAUCUCAGUCAUAAGUAUGCCUCUCGAUAUGCUCUCAGUCGGCUUCUUAGAUGUCGGGCCCAUAGGGCUCAGUCCUUUCAUUUCUUUUGGACACCAUACCAAUCUACUUCUGAUCGGCUUCUUAGCUAGUCGGGUCCUAGGACUCAGUCCCCUCAUUUCUUUAGGGUACCGUCUUAGGCUACUCUUGAUCGACUUCUUAGCUGGUUGGAGCUUAGGGGUCAAUCCUCUCAUUUCUUCUCAGCACCAUCUCAGGUUACUCUUGGUCGACUUCUUAGCUGGUCGAGUCCUUAAGACUCAAUCCUCUCAUUUCUCCUUGGCAUCGUCCCAGUCUACUCUUGAUCUGUCCUAACAUCGGUCAAACUAUUGUCAGGGGAUAACAUUGUAAUGGAAUUAUAAUAACUUGUUAGACAAUAACGGUUAUUCGUUAGCGAAUAUUUUGAUACUUUGUCACAUGUAUAACACGGAAUCUUCCUUUACCUAAUGAGAAUUCAUCGUACUUCAUCCAUCUUCUCACGUACCUUAAUACACAACAUUCUUUGAUGCUUCAUUAUUGCGGAGGUUAUAAAAGGUAGUAUAAAAAGGGAGGUCCUCAACGUUAGCCAGGUACACAGACAUAUGCAUUUACUACAAUACUAAUUGUCAUCUUCUUUCUGCACUUUUUGCUUUGUGGUGCUCCUGACUUGAGCGUAGGGGGACUUGUGCUAGGGACCUCUUCUUUAAUUUGUGCUUUAACACUUCCGUGGGAUCUCUCUGCGUGUGUGCAGGCUCGUGGGUAUUAUUGGCAGCCCUCAUUCACACGCCCACUUCGUUGAAAGGUGAAAAGCCUGCAACGCUCUUGCAAGUCCUAGAUCUAGGUCAUCUUUUUGUCAACAUCCUUAUCCUCAUCACAAGCUCCCCACAUCUGACUCAGCUUUCGAACAAGAUCAAAUUUGGUGUUAUCUGUGAGAAUCUCUCUGCUUGAUUUGCAACAUUAAGAUGGAUGACGUCGGAAAACUCUCUACCAUCACCAUGAUCCCAGAGGAUAUUGACAAACAUAUGGUCAUCACAACGCAGAAGGAAAGAUGGGAUUUAGGCAUUGUCGAUCGAGGCAUUCGAAGCUUAUGGUUCCUGACAAGACCUUUAUUCUCCAUAUUCUCAGGCGGUACAAGUGUUGGAUUCUUAUCAUAUUAUAGUCUCCCCCUUCACUUCACGGGUAUUCAGGAGUUGAAGUAUCGAGACAGAUCCUCAGUCAGUCAACAAGUUAAUUUUUCUAUUAUAUUUUCUCUUUUGGUCAUAGGAUUUGUUACAGCUCCUUGAUCAAAGAGUAAGGGUCACACUCCAUGAUAAAAGACUAGGGUCCUAGAUGAUCAGACACUAGGGACAGCUAUACGAUCAGACACUAGGGCAUAGCUCCCCGAUUAGAGACUAAAGGUAUAGUUCCUCGAUCAAACACUAGGGGUACAAUUCUCUGAUCCGACACUAGAGGCACAACUCCUCGAUCAGAUACUUGCGGUACAACUUCUCGAUUAGGAUCUAGGGGCCUCACUCUCCGAUUAUGGGCUAGGGGCUUCACUCUUCAAUUUCUGGUUAGGGAUCUCACUCUCCGAUUAUGGACUAGAGGCUCAGCUCCCCGAUCAAGUGUGCUACGAGGUUUGCUCCCUCAUAUUGCUAAGAGCUUUGUUUUCACUACAUCAGAGCCUAACCUCCUUCGUUCGGGGUCGAGUUAUCUCCACUAGUAUCAGACCAUAGCAUCGCCACUGGUCUUGGACCAGAGUAUCUCCAUUGGUCUGGCAGAGUAUCACCAUCGGUUUUGAAUCGGUGUAUUGUCAUUGGUCUUAGACUAGAGUAUCUCUAUCGGUAUAUCCUCUUCAGGGCUCAACCUCUCCUAUUUAGGGUUGAGCUAUCUCCAUUGGUCUUGGACCAGAGUAUCGUUAUCAGUCUUGGACUGAAGUAUUACCACUAGUUUGAGACUAGAGUA